GAUGAACGCUGGCGGCGUGCUUAACACAUGCAAGUCGAACGGAAAGGCCCAAGCUUGCUUGGGUACUCGAGUGGCGAACGGGUGAGUAACACGUGGGUGAUCUGCCCUGCACUUCGGGAUAAGCCUGGGAAACUAGGUCUAAUACCGGAUAGGACGAUGGUUUGGAUGCCAUUGUGGAAAGUUUUUUCGGUGUGGGAUGAGCUCGCGGCCUAUCAGCUUGUUGGUGGGGUAAUGGCCUACCAAGGCGUCGACGGGUAGCCGGCCUGAGAGGGUGUACGGCCACAUUGGGAAUGAGAUACGGCCCAGACUCCUACGGGAGGCAGCAGUGGGGAAUAUUGCACAAUGGGCGCAAGCCUGAUGCAGCGACGCCGCGUGGGGGAUGACGGCCUUCGGGUUGUAAACUCCUUUCGCUAGGGACGAAGCGUUUUUGUGACGGUACCUGGAGAAGAAGCACCGGCUAACUACGUG
Molecule: ribosomal RNA, 468 nt
Filed under: uncultured bacterium
Lineage: Bacteria
Description: partial 16S ribosomal RNA
Rfam family: Bacterial small subunit ribosomal RNA
Source: RNAcentral